AUUGAACGCUGGCGGCAUGCCUUACACAUGCAAGUCGAACGGUAACGCGGGGCAACCUGGCGACGAGUGGCGAACGGGUGAGUAAAGUAUCGGAACGUGCCCAAUAGUGGGGGAUAGCCCGGCGAAAGCCGGAUUAAUACGCAUGAGACCUGAGGGUGAAAGCGGGGGACGUCGCAAGAGCCUCGCGCUGUUGGAGCGGCCGAUAUCAGAUUAGGUAGUUGGUGGGGUAAAGGCCUACCAAGCCGACGAUCUGUAGCUGGUCUGAGAGGACGACCAGCCACACUGGGACUGAGACACGGCCCAGACUCCUACGGGAGGCAGCAGUGGGGAAUUUUGGACAAUGGGCGCAAGCCUGAUCCAGCCAUGCCGCGUGCGGGAAGAAGGCC
Molecule: ribosomal RNA, 386 nt
Filed under: uncultured bacterium
Lineage: Bacteria
Description: bacterial SSU rRNA
Rfam family: Bacterial small subunit ribosomal RNA
Source: RNAcentral